This is a long non-coding RNA of Ctenocephalides felis (cat flea), 235 nucleotides long. RefSeq lists it as uncharacterized. Lineage: Eukaryota; Metazoa; Arthropoda; Insecta; Siphonaptera; Pulicidae. The transcript is spliced from 3 exons. The record is from RefSeq and is a predicted model, not a curated record.
AGUUUCUUCCUGUUCGAAAAUUCGCCGAACCUUACGCGGUUGUUAAGUACGUUCUACAUGAACAAAAACUGCUUAAAUGGAUAAUUGCGGGCAGAGGAUCUUUGAGGUUCCAAGCUUGCAUCGGAAAAUUGGAAGUGAUCUCUGAAUUGAAACUAAUGAUCAGAUGACAACAAUGAUUAGAAUGAUACCGGUGAAAAGGUAAAAGAAGACAAAUUCUCAUCAAACAUACUAUAUG